UCCCUUGUAGUUCAGUUGGUAAAGAAUCUGCCUUCAAUGCAGGAUACCCGGGUUCAAUUCCUGGAUUGGGAA
RNAcentral lists this transfer RNA (72 nucleotides) under Bos taurus (domestic cattle). It matches the Rfam family "tRNA". Rfam says of the family: Transfer RNA (tRNA) molecules are approximately 80 nucleotides in length. Their secondary structure includes four short double-helical elements and three loops (D, anti-codon, and T loops). Lineage: Eukaryota; Metazoa; Chordata; Mammalia; Artiodactyla; Bovidae. The record is from Rfam by way of RNAcentral. RNAcentral also lists the same sequence under 5 other names.